This 21-nucleotide non-coding RNA is filed under the name Caenorhabditis elegans. The record is from RNAcentral. Lineage: Eukaryota; Metazoa; Nematoda; Chromadorea; Rhabditida; Rhabditidae.
UGACCAUAUAGACGAAAUAGA